RNAcentral lists this non-coding RNA (21 nucleotides) under Caenorhabditis elegans. Lineage: Eukaryota; Metazoa; Nematoda; Chromadorea; Rhabditida; Rhabditidae. The record is from RNAcentral.
UAAGACGUUAAUUUUUUGUUA